Molecule: unclassified non-coding RNA, 535 nt
Filed under: Hevea brasiliensis (rubber tree)
Lineage: Eukaryota; Viridiplantae; Streptophyta; Magnoliopsida; Malpighiales; Euphorbiaceae
Source: RNAcentral
UGAUUCAGGUACUAUGUAAGAAGGAUAAUGUAGAUAAUGCCAUAUUAGUUUUCGAGGAGAUGGUGAAGAUGGGUUAUGUCCCUAAUUCAACAACUUAUAACUUGGUGAUUAGAGGAUUGUGUCAUGCAGGUGAAAUGCAGAGGGCAUUGGCAUUUACGGAGAGAAUGAAAUAUGAUGAAUGCAAGACAAAUGUUCAAACAUACAAUAUUUUGAUUAGGUACUUCUGUGAUUCAGGAGAGAUUGAGAAGGGGUUGGAUUUAUUUCAGAAGAUGGGCACUGAAGAUUGCUUACCAAAUUUGGACACCUAUAAUAUACUAAUAAGUGCAAUGUUUGUGAGGAAAAAGUCAGCUGAUAUCUUGGUGGCAGGGAAGUUAUUGGUUGAGAUGAUUGAUAGAGGAUUUCUUCCUCGAAAACUUACUUUCAAUCGGGUUCUUGAUGGGCUUUUAUUAACUGGUAACCAAGGCUUCGCGAAAGAGAUUCUGAGUUUACAGAGUAGAUGUGGCCAUCUUCCCAGUAAAUUUAAACUAUGAAGCCU